This 497-nucleotide ribosomal RNA is filed under the name uncultured bacterium. RNAcentral describes it as "partial 16S ribosomal RNA". It matches the Rfam family "Bacterial small subunit ribosomal RNA", at positions 28 to 507 of the family's 1533-position model. The record is from RNAcentral.
GAUGAACGCUGGCGGCGUGCCUAAUACAUGCAAGUCGAGCGAACGGACUAGAAGCUUGCUUCUCUGAUGUUAGCGGCGGACGGGUGAGUAACACGUGGAUAACCUACCUAUAAGACUGGGAUAACUUCGGGAAACCGUAGCUAAUACCGGAUAAUAUUUUGAACCGCAUGGUUCAAAAGUGAAAGACGGUCUUGCUGUCACUUAUAGAUGGAUCCGCGCUGCAUUAGCUAGUUGGUAAGGUAACGGCUUACCAAGGCAACGAUGCAUAGCCGACCUGAGAGGGAGAUCGGCCACACUGGAACUGAGACACGGUCCAGACUCCUACGGGAGGCAGCAGUAGGGAAUCUUCCGCAAUGGGCGAAAGCCUGACGGAGCAACGCCGCGUGAGUGAUGAAGGUCUUCGGAUCGUAAAACUCUGUUAUUAGGGAAGAACAUAUGUGUAAGUAACUGUGCACAUCUUGACGGUACCUAAUCAGAAAGCCACGGCUAACUACGUG